Molecule: ribosomal RNA, 440 nt
Filed under: uncultured bacterium
Lineage: Bacteria
Description: partial 16S ribosomal RNA
Rfam family: Bacterial small subunit ribosomal RNA
Source: RNAcentral
CCUACGGGCGGCAGCAGUGGGGAAUAUUGCACAAUGGGGGAAACCCUGCUGCAGCGACGCCGCGUGAGUGAAGAAGUAUCUCGGUACGUAAAGCUCUAUCAGCAGGAAGGAACAUGACUGUACCUGACUAAGAAGCCUAGGCUACCUACGUGCCAACAGCCGCGGUAAUACGUAGGGGGCAAGCGUUAUCCAGAUGUACUGGGUGUAAAGGGAGCGUAGACGGCGCUGCAAGUCCGGAGUGAAAGCCCAUGGCUUAACCAUGGUACUGCACUGGAAACUGUAGAGCUAGAGUGCGGGAGAGGCAGGCGGAAUUACAAGUGUAGCGGUGACAUGCGUAGAUAUUAGGAGGAACACCGGCGGCGAAGGCGGCCUGCUGGGCCGUAACUGACGUUGAGGCUCGAAAGCGUGGGGAGCAAACAGGAUUAGAUACCCGUGUAGUC